RNAcentral lists this ribosomal RNA (402 nucleotides) under Pseudomonas aeruginosa. RNAcentral describes it as "partial 23S ribosomal RNA". It matches the Rfam family "Bacterial large subunit ribosomal RNA", at positions 732 to 1131 of the family's 2925-position model. Lineage: Bacteria; Pseudomonadati; Pseudomonadota; Gammaproteobacteria; Pseudomonadales; Pseudomonadaceae. The record is from RNAcentral.
AGCCAUGGGCAGGUUGAAGGUUGGGUAACACUAACUGGAGGACCGAACCGACUAAUGUUGAAAAAUUAGCGGAUGACUUGUGGCUGGGGGUGAAAGGCCAAUCAAACCGGGAGAUAGCUGGUUCUCCCCGAAAGCUAUUUAGGUAGCGCCUCGUGAACUCAUCUUCGGGGGUAGAGCACUGUUUCGGCUAGGGGGUCAUCCCGACUUACCAACCCGAUGCAAACUACGAAUACCGAAGAAUGUUAUCACGGGAGACACACGGCGGGUGCUAACGUCCGUCGUGAAGAGGGAAACAACCCAGACCGCCAGCUAAGGUCCCAAAGUCAUGGUUAAGUGGGAAACGAUGUGGGAAGGCACAGACAGCCAGGAUGUUGGCUUAGAAGCAGCCAUCAUUUAAAGAAA